This 468-nucleotide ribosomal RNA is filed under the name uncultured bacterium. RNAcentral describes it as "partial 16S ribosomal RNA". It matches the Rfam family "Bacterial small subunit ribosomal RNA", at positions 28 to 507 of the family's 1533-position model. The record is from RNAcentral.
GACGAACGCUGGCGGCGUGCUUAACACAUGCAAGUCGAACGGAAAGGCCCUGCUUUUGUGGGGUGCUCGAGUGGCGAACGGGUGAGUAACACGUGAGUAACCUGCCCUUGACUUUGGGAUAACUUCAGGAAACUUGGGCUAAUACCGGAUAGGAGCUCCUGCUGCAUGGUGGGGGUUGGAAAGUUUCGGCGGUUGGGGAUGGACUCGCGGCUUAUCAGCUUGUUGGUGGGGUAGUGGCUUACCAAGGCUUUGACGGGUAGCCGGCCUGGGAGGGUGACCGGCCACAUUGGGACUGAGAUACGGACCAGACUGCUACGGGAGGCAGCAGUGGAGAAUAUUGCACAAUGGGCGGAAGCCUGAUGCAGCAACGCCGGGUGCGGGAUGACGGCCUUCGGGUUGUAAACCGCUUUCGCCUGUGACGAAGCGUGAGUGACGGUAAUGGGUAAAGAAGCACCGGCUAACUACGUG